RNAcentral lists this long non-coding RNA (332 nucleotides) under Mytilus galloprovincialis (Mediterranean mussel). Lineage: Eukaryota; Metazoa; Mollusca; Bivalvia; Mytilida; Mytilidae. The record is from RNAcentral.
AUUUUGAAAACAUAAAAGUACUUAUGGAAAUUGAGGUUUUCACACUUUUGCAAAAACAUAAUUUAAAGUAAAAGAAUAAUACAUGUUGACCGUAACGAAAGGCGGGAAUUUGAACAGUUUGGCAAACUAAUUGUACCAAGUCUUAAAGUGUUAAUCAAAGAAACAAGGCUGGCACGUAAGGCGUUAGUUUUAUCUACAUAAGUUCAGGAUAAGAGAUCAUUAGUGACGCUCAAAUUAUAACACUUGAUGGUCAACGUAAGUUGAAGAGUGUUACAAACAAACAAAAAUCGAAAACCUGUACCAAAUAUGGCGUAGGCAAUAUCAUUAGGAAG